This 252-nucleotide unclassified non-coding RNA is filed under the name plant metagenome. Its description in RNAcentral is "partial contains small subunit ribosomal RNA, internal transcribed spacer 1, and 5.8S ribosomal RNA". The record is from RNAcentral.
UCUCCGUUGGUGAACCAGCGGAGGGAUCAUUACCGAGUUUACAACUCCCAAACCCCUGUGAACUUAUACCUUUACUGUUGCUUCGGCGGGUUUUUGCCCCGGGGAAACAGGCGGCCGUCAGGUCCCUGCCCACCCGGAAACAGGCGCCCGCCGGGGGACUCAAACUCUUCUGUAUUUUUUUGUUUACUGUAUACUGUCUGAGUAAAAAUUCAUAAUGAAUCAAAACUUUCAACAACGGAUCUCUUGGUUCUG